AUGAAUAUCCUAAGUUGGAACUGCCGAGGGGCGGGGAACUCUCGGACAGUUCGAGAUCUUGUGAGUCUAGUGCAGGCUCACUCCCCUAAUAUCGUUUUUCUUUGUGAAACUAGGCAGUCUAAGAAUAAAAUGAAGAGAUAUUAUGGCCGAUUAGGUUUGAGAGGUUUUGAUGCCUCAUAUAGUGUUGGUCUUGCUUUGUAUUGGCACGAGUUUUUGUGUCUGGAUGUAAAAACAAUAAAUGAAAGAUAUAUUGAUGCGUAUGUCACGAGUGUAGCAGGUGAGCUGCCAUGGAGGCUCACUUGCGUUUACGGCGAACCACGAAUGGAGGACCGACACUGUAUGUGGUCCUCCCUCCGAGCUCUUCAUCAACAAGUCAACAUGCCAUGGGUCGUCGUUGGUGAUUUCAAUGAAGCUAUGUGGAGCUUUGAACACUUCUAUGCAACGCCACGGUUGGUAGGUCAGAUGAUUGAUUUUCAUGAUGUCCUUGAAGUUUGUGGUUUGGGCGAUCUCGGUUUUGCAGGCCUAUCGUACACGUAUGAUAAUCGCCGAGCGGGCCGGGCAAAUGUUAAGGUUCGCCUCGACGGGCCAUCGCGAACAAUUCCUGGAGGGAUAUCUUUGGCCAAGCAAAGGUCGACCAUCUGGUGGCCCCCAGUUCGGAUCACCUCCCCAUAUUGUUGUGAUGUAUAUGGGAGGAGCCAGUGCAGUCAACUGGCAGGCGAUGUCGUUAGUACGAGGUUAUGUGGGAAAGAGACCCUUCUCUUUCGGAGGUAA
This 771-nucleotide ribosomal RNA is filed under the name Triticum aestivum (bread wheat). RNAcentral's name for it is "partial small subunit ribosomal RNA". Lineage: Eukaryota; Viridiplantae; Streptophyta; Magnoliopsida; Poales; Poaceae. The record is from RNAcentral.